Molecule: long non-coding RNA, 2411 nt
Organism: Pan troglodytes (chimpanzee)
Lineage: Eukaryota; Metazoa; Chordata; Mammalia; Primates; Hominidae
Exons: 3
Source: RefSeq, a predicted model, not a curated record
AACUCAGGAUAGACUGGGAAAGUUUGAAGGGAGCUAUGAUAACAGAGGUCAGACCGAAAGAGGCAAUUUCCUGCAUCCAGAAGGCAAGGAUUAUUUCUAUAAUGUGAUUCUGGCUAUUUCUGGGGGUUGGAGGGGACCCAAAGAAAUCCUCAGGAAUCCUCGUGAAUAGUUUUUGGUUUUUGUUUUGUUUUUCUGUGAGAAAACCAUGCAUUUAAUAAUUCUAGAUUUUCUAUAGUUGGUUAACAAGAGGCUAAAAAUUUUUGUUUAUAAAAUAGAUUUGGAUGUGGAUAAUACAGACAUAAGAUUUUUGGAAAAUGAAUGACAAAGGAUGAUUUGAUAACCCUAAAAUAAGAACCUGAGCAAGAGGAAAAUAUAAUUUUCCGGGAAGAGUAACAAGGCAUACCUGAAACCCUCCAGAAAGUGGGCAGCUUCUUAAAAGUCAGUUUAAAUGUAAAAGCUGACUGCAUAGUGACUCAUGUCUUAUUAAAACACAACCCUUAUUUAUAAAGUUAAGACUCCAUGUUGAAAUUUUUUCUGUUUUAUUGAAAAGACAAGGGCAUGUGGGUUUUAUGCUACCUAUCAGUCUUCCAGGCCUUUGUUCUUCUUCUUUUUUUCUGAGAUGGUGUGAGAAGUUGAGAAAAAAGAACUCAUCCAGAUAAUUCCUAGUUACCCAGAGAGGCUGGAUGUAGAUACUGAAUGAAGGUGUCAUAAAUGCUGCUGGACCUUCCUAUAGUACCAGCGUUACUUGGCAGCUUUGUCUGGUUCAGCGCUCUUACAUUUAAAUGAAUCAGAAAUGUACAAUUGGCUUGGGAAGAAAACACAGCCAGCCACAGGGGAGCAAGCUCAAAGAAGUUGCAAAACGAGAAGGAGGAGAUGAGAGAAAUCAGAGAAGGAAGCAAGCAUUCUGACUUUUGACUGAGAGUCUCUGCCAGUUUUGCCUCACAUAUGAACACUUAUUUACUUUGCACACUAUUGCAAUCUGUAAUAUUGCAAAACAUAAAGUCAAAUAUUCUUCCCUUGUUUUAAUACUCAACAAGACCUCAGCCUUAUUAGCUUUUACCAAUUAUUAUGAAAACUUAAUAUGGCCUCCAAGUAACAUCAUUCUCAGACCAUAUUCCCAAUUGUGAAUAUUGUCCCUAGAUUGGACCUAGGUUAAAACAUUAGAUGUUAGUAUCAAAAAGGAGAAUUAUAACCAAAUAAAAACCAGAAAGAUCCCACAUCUUAGAAAUGAAGAUGUUCAUCUGUGUAAGCACAUAGCUUUAUAGUAAAAUCUGUAGCUACCAUACAGGAGAUGAACUAUAAUGACUCUCUUUAUAUCUCUACCUAUCUGUCUAUAUAUUUGCUAUAACGUAUAUUAAGAUAAAUAACUGACCAACAUAUAAAUAUAUAAAUGGGAAUUUUAAAUUCACUUUCACAUCUAAUUCACAAAAAUACAAAAUGAAAAUUAAUUUUAUGCUUUACAAAGUUUAUUGCCAAUGGUAUUUUUAAGACUGUAAACACCAUUUGUAGUAAGCAGACUAAUAUCUUCCCUCAAAGAUGUCCCCAUUCUAAUUCCCAGAACUGUUACAUGGCAAUAUGUUAGGUUACAUGGCAUGGCAAAGGGGAAUUAAGGGUCCAAAUGGAAUUAAGACUGCUAAUCAGCUAAAUUUAUUUUGUUUUUAUUUAUUUAUUAUUAUUUUUUUUAAUGAGAUGGAGUUUUGCUCUUGUUGCCCAGGCUGGAGUGCAAUGGCACGAUCUCGGCUCACCGCAACCUCCACCUCUUGGGUUCAAGCGAUUCUCCUGACUCAGUCUCCCAAGUAGCUGGGAUUACAGGCAUGUGCCACCAUGCCCAGCUAAUUUUGUAUUGUUAGUAGAGACUGGGUUUCUCAAUGUUGGUCAGGCUGGUCUCGAACUCCCUACCCCAGGUGAUCCGCCUGCCUCGGCCUCCCAAAGUGCUGGGAUUACAGGCAUGAGCCACUGCACCUGGCCUAAUCAGCUAAAUUUAAAAUAGGGGGAUUAUCCUGGAUUAUUCACAGGGACCGUAUGGAUCACAAAGGUCCUUAAAAUUGGAAGGAGACAGAAGAGAGAGUCAGAGGGAGAUCUGACUAUGAAAGAAAGGCAUGGGAGAUGCAAUGUUUCCAGCUUUGUAGAUGGAGGAAGCAGGUCUCUAGAGGUUGUAGUAUGCAAGAAAACAUCCUCUCCUAGAGCCUCCAGAAAGGACUGCAAUGCUGCCAACACCUUGUUAUUUUGCCCAACCUGUGCUGAGCUUCUGACCUACGGAAUUGUAGGAUAAUAAGUUUGUGUUAUUGUAAGUGAAUAAAUUUUUGAUAGUUUGUUAUGGCAGUGAGUAGAAAAUUAAUACACCUUAAAAUUAGUCAAUUUUGUCAAAUUAGACUUGUUUUCAAGUGUUAAUAAAAUUCACCUAAAACACA